RNAcentral lists this ribosomal RNA (229 nucleotides) under uncultured bacterium. Its description in RNAcentral is "partial 16S ribosomal RNA". It matches the Rfam family "Bacterial small subunit ribosomal RNA", at positions 568 to 796 of the family's 1533-position model. The record is from RNAcentral.
UGCGCAGGCGGGGUAGUAAGUCAGUGGUGAAAUCCUGCGGCUCAACCGUAGAACUGCCAUUGAUACUGCUAUCCUCGAGUGUAGUUGAGGUGGGCGGAAUGUGUAAUGUAGCGGUGAAAUGCAUAGAUAUUACACAGAACACCGAUUGCGAAGGCAGCUCACUAAACUACUACUGACGCUGAGGCACGAAAGCGUGGGGAGCGAACAGGAUUAGAUACCCUGGUAGUCC